Molecule: transfer RNA, 72 nt
Filed under: Oreochromis niloticus (Nile tilapia)
Lineage: Eukaryota; Metazoa; Chordata; Actinopteri; Cichliformes; Cichlidae
Also listed under: 1 other name
Rfam family: tRNA
About the family: Transfer RNA (tRNA) molecules are approximately 80 nucleotides in length. Their secondary structure includes four short double-helical elements and three loops (D, anti-codon, and T loops).
Source: Rfam by way of RNAcentral
UUUCUAGUGGUAUAGUGGGUAACACAUCUGCUUGGUAAGCUGAAGGUUGCUAGUUUGAUUCCAGCUAGAGAC